Molecule: ribosomal RNA, 341 nt
Filed under: uncultured bacterium
Lineage: Bacteria
Description: bacterial SSU rRNA
Rfam family: Bacterial small subunit ribosomal RNA
Source: RNAcentral
GAGGAAGGUGGGGAUGACGUCAAGUCCUCAUGGCCCUUAUGUCCUGGGCUACACACGCGCUACAAUGGCGGUGACAGUGGGAAGCCAGGCAGCGAUGCCGAGCUGAUCCUCAAAAGCCGUCUCAGUUCGGAUUGUACUCUGCAACUCGAGUGCAUGAAGGUGGAAUCGCUAGUAAUCGCGGAUCAGCAUGCCGCGGUGAAUACGUUCCCGGGCCUUGUACACACCGCCCGUCACACCAUGGGAUUUGGUUUGACCUUAAGUUGGUGCGCUAACCCGCAAGGGAGGCAGCCAACCACGGUCGGGUUAGAGACUGGGGUGAAGUCGUAACAAGGUAGCCGUAA